GAAAAAUCCACCACUUCUACUGUGAAUUUCCAGCUGUUGUGAAGCUGGUAUGAGGAGACGUUGCUGUUUUUGAGACCACAGUGUUCAUCAGCAGCAUCCUACUUCUCCUCCUCCCCAUCUUGCUGGUUUCUGCAUCCUAUGCCUUCAUCCUCCACAGCCUCAUUCAGAUGCGUGCAGCUGGGAAGUCAAGAAAAGAGCCUGACAUGAACUAACUGCUCAAUAACUAUUUGUUGCAUGGGUUAAUAAAUGAAAAGGACCUGGAUUAUUUUACUGUCCCACAUGACAUUCAAGGAUGGCUAUCAUUAAAGAAACAGAAUGCAAGUGUUGGUGAGGAGGUGAAGAACGUGGAACCCUUGUGCACUGUUGGUGGGAAUGUAAAAUGGCACAACCAUUAUAGAAAACAGUUUCACGUUUCCUCAAAAAUGAGAAAAUAAAAUUACUGUAUAAUCCAGUAAUUCCAUAGAAUAUUCAUUUUCCGUGAGAGUUGUUUUACCCCUUAAUCCUGGCAGGAUACUCCUAUCUGGCUUUAGUGGAACCUUAUAGCUCUUGGGGCAAAGACAUAUCCUAGUAGCCCAGCACUAGAAGCCAAGAUGGAAAAGAUCUCCACAGCCACCAUGACCUCCCCCUUGGUGCUGUUAUGCACAGGGAGGAAGGUGAUCCAGACCCUACAGAACACCAGCAUGCUGAAUGUGAGGCCCUUGGCUUCCCUGAAAUUGCCAGGCAGGCUCCUGGCCAGGAAAGCCAAGGUGAAGCUCAUGAAGGCCAAGGAGCCCAAGUAUCCUAAGGAAAGGUAGAACAAAACGACAGAGCCCUCAUCGCACAGAAUUAUGGGGAGGGUAGGCUCAGAAUGUGCAUGUACAUCAACAAAAGGGGGAGAGUUUCCCAACCAGACAGUAGAGAAAGUCAACUGAAUCAAUGAGCAGAUGGGGAUGAUGGAAUUAGGUGCCCCUGACAGCAACCACUGCCUCAUCUUUAUCCCUGGGGUUGUGAACUUGAAAGCCAGAACUACAGUGAUGGUUUUAGCCAAAAUGGUGGGAACCACCACAAUAAACAUGAUUCCAGACAACAUUUGUUGCAGGAUCCAGGUGGAGGGUUGGAAUGUCUAAUGAAGAGUAAGCUCAGAGGAAGCAGAGGAUGAGGGAGGUGAGCAGGAGUAGCUGAGAGCCCAGUUAAUACCUUGGACUAUGGGUGGGUCGCUAUACUUCACAAAAAUGCCAAGAACCACAGCUGUGAGGACAGACAGGCAAAGAGCUUCACAGGCAAGUACCAUCCCCAUAGGAUCUCCAUAGGCCAAGAAGAUCACAACUUUUGAGAGGCAAUGAUCUCGAUCACUGUUUGGGUAUUGAUUGUCUGGACACUUCAUACAUUGCUUCAUAUCUGGCAAGAAAAGCAUGGUGCCACUAACUUGGGUUCAAUGAUUCUUAAGAGUCCUCAAAAUAUUCACAUUUGGCCAAAUCGAUAUGAUUAGACAACAAAUAAAGGAAUGCUAUAGGGAGAGAAAUUCCAAGAUAAUGGUGUCUAUUGUGUUCUCGGUAUAACAAAGGUCAAGGAGCUCUAGCCUCACCUCUUUUGUUCAUCUUCUGUAUGCAAGGGAAUUAGUUUUUUCUUAGAAACAAAAAUUACACCUUUUAUAUCACUUAAAUAUGGGUAGGGUAGGACAUAUCCUCGAUUCGCUCCCUCAAAAGCAGGCACUUGUUGAUAACUUUCAGUGACCUAAUUUCCGGAGGUUUGCAGAUAUAGAGAUGGCCAAGAUAUAACCUGUCACUGAAGCUUCAAAAUUACAUUUCUGCCAUCCAAUUUAUUGCACACCUAUCUCCUAUUCGUUCCCACUUCUAUUAUUUUUGUUCAGAUUUGAAUAACAUCUAUUUUAACAAAAUAACUCCCUAACAAGUCUUCCUGUCUUCUGUCUUGAAUCCCUCUCACCUCUCACCCAUUCAAUCACACCCAUUCAUAUUUCUAUUAUUAAAUCCAUCCACGUAAUUUCCUUGCUUAAAAUAUCACAGUUAUACUCAUCUUCUUCUAGACCACUGAUUCUCAAAUAUUGGUGCAUGUUAGAAUCACCUGGAUGGCUUGUUAAAACAGGUUGCUUCACCCUGCUAUCGGGGUUCCUGAUUCAGAAACUCAGAAUUUACAAUUUUAAUAAGUUCUCAUGAUAGGCUGAUGCUGUUGGUAUAGGUACUACACUUUGAGAACCAUCAUUCUCGAUGGAAUCCAAACUCCUAGCAACAUAGAAAACGUGCAUGAUUAUCUUGCUUCUAACUACUUUUCCUGUAGCACCUUUUUUGAGAGGAGUUGUGUAGUGAGGAUAAAAGUACACAUUUUAUUGUGGAUCUGUGGUAUUGUAGGCAAUUUGCUUGAUAUAUCACAUAAUAUAUCUUUCUUUAAUUCUUACAGAAUCGUUUGAGGUAGGUGGACAGUAUCAACACAUUUAGCAGAAUAAAAUAAUUGAGGCUUAAAGAGCUUGAAUAACUCACCUGGGAUCUUGAAGGUAGUGAGGGCUGGGCUAGGAUCCAGACUUAAGAGCACGGGGCCAGACUCGGGUGAGGGGAAUGAAAAACCAGAGGUGCAAAAUUUAAGGAAGCACUCACUUUCAUGUGCCAACCCUGCCCUUGAAUGACCCUGAGAGUGAGUGCCUCCAUAAAUUUUGUACCCCAGGCACCUCACCUACCUUUCCCUAGUCCUGGCCUUACUCAGUACUGUCUGACUCCAAAGCCAGUGAUCUUUCCAUUACAUACCUUUUGCUGACUUUAAUGU
This is a long non-coding RNA of Equus caballus (horse), 2754 nucleotides long. Lineage: Eukaryota; Metazoa; Chordata; Mammalia; Perissodactyla; Equidae. The record is from Ensembl.